Molecule: ribosomal RNA, 253 nt
Filed under: uncultured bacterium
Lineage: Bacteria
Description: partial 16S ribosomal RNA
Rfam family: Bacterial small subunit ribosomal RNA
Source: RNAcentral
UACGUAGGGCGCAAGCGUUAUCCGGAAUUAUUGGGCGUAAAGAGCUCGUAGGCGGUUUGUCGCGUCUGCUGUGAAAACCGGAGGCUCAACCUCCGGCCUGCAGUGGGUACGGGCAAACUAGAGUGCGGUAGGGGAGAUUGGAAUUCCUGGUGUAGCGGUGGAAUGCGCAGAUAUCAGGAGGAACACCGAUGGCGAAGGCAGAUCUCUGGGCCGUAACUGACGCUGAGGAGCGAAAGCGUGGGGAGCGAACAGG